AGAGUUUGAUCAUGGCUCAGGACGAACGCUGGCGGCGCGCUUCAUCCAUGCAAGUCGAACGAGCCCGGGACUUCGGUCCCAAUGGGAAAGUGGCGAACGGGUGAGUAACACGUGAGAAACCUACCCCGGAGAUGGGAAUAGCCCAGGGAAACCUGGAUUAAUACCCAAUACCCUGCUUGCACCUCAUGGUGCGCUCAGGAAAUGCUUUUGUGCUCCGGGAGGGUCUCGCGGCCUAUCAGCUUGUUGGUGAGGUAAUGGCUCACCAAGGCAUCGACGGGUAGCUGGUCUGAGAGGACGAUCAGCCACACUGGGACUGAGACACGGCCCAGACUCCUACGGGAGGCAGCAGGAGGGAAUAUUGCGCAAUGGGCGAAAGCCUGACGCAGCGACGCCGCGUGGGGGAAGAAGGCCUUCGGGUCGUAAACCCCUUUCAGCAGGGACGAAAUUGACGGUACCUGCAGAAGAAGCGCCGGCCAACUACGUGCCAGCAGCCGCGGUAAUACGUAGGGCGCAAGCGUUGUCCGGAUUCAUUGGGCGUAAAGGGCUCGUAGGCGGUUUGGUAAGUCGGGUGUGAAAACUCAGGGCUCAACUCUGAGACGCCACUCGAUACUGCCAUGACUAGAGUCCGGUAGGGGAGUGUAGAAUUCCUGG
This 651-nucleotide ribosomal RNA is filed under the name uncultured Actinomycetes bacterium. Its description in RNAcentral is "bacterial SSU rRNA". It matches the Rfam family "Bacterial small subunit ribosomal RNA", at positions 8 to 673 of the family's 1533-position model. The record is from RNAcentral. Lineage: Bacteria; Bacillati; Actinomycetota; Actinomycetes.